AGAGGGUGCAAGCGUUAAUCAGAAUUACUGGGCGUAAAGCGCGCGUAGGUGUGUAUUUAAGUCGGAUGUGAAAGCCCUGGGGCUCAACCUAGGAACUGCAUUCGAUACUGGGUACCCUGGAGUAUGGUAGAGGGAAGUGGAAUUCCCGGUGUAGCGGUGAAAUGCGUAGAUAUCGGGAGGAACAUCAGUGGCGAAGGCGACUUCCUGGACCAAUACUGACACUGAGGCGCGAAAGCGUGGGGAGCAAACAGGAUUAGAGACCCUGGUAGUCCACGCCGUAAACGAUGAGAACUAGGCGUUGGGAGAUUUAUAUCUUUUAGUGCCGAAGCUAACGCGAUAAGUUCUCCGCCUGGGGAGUACGGCCGCAAAGGCUA
Molecule: ribosomal RNA, 374 nt
Filed under: uncultured organism
Description: partial 16S ribosomal RNA
Rfam family: Bacterial small subunit ribosomal RNA
Source: RNAcentral